UGGGGAAUAUUGCACAAUGGGCGCAAGCCUGAUGCAGCCAUGCCGCGUGUAUGAAGAAGGCCUUCGGGUUGUAAAGUACUUUCAGUCGGGAGGAAGGUGUCAAGGUUAAUAACCUUGGCAAUUGACGUUACCGACAGAAGAAGCACCGGCUAACUCCGUGCCAGCAGCCGCGGUAAUACGGAGGGUGCAAGCGUUAAUCGGAAUUACUGGGCGUAAAGCGCACGCAGGCGGUUUGUUAAGUCAGAUGUGAAAUCCCCGGGCUCAACCUGGGAACUGCAUCUGAUACUGGCAAGCUUGAGUCUCGUAGAGGGGGGUAGAAUUCCAGGUGUAGCGGUGAAAUGCGUAGAGAUCUGGAGGAAUACCGGUGGCGAAGACGGCCCCCUGGACGAAGACUGACGCUCAGGUGCGAAAGCGUGGGGAGCAAACAGG
Molecule: ribosomal RNA, 429 nt
Filed under: Chloroflexota bacterium
Lineage: Bacteria; Bacillati; Chloroflexota
Description: Chloroflexi bacterium partial 16S ribosomal RNA
Rfam family: Bacterial small subunit ribosomal RNA
Source: RNAcentral